RNAcentral lists this long non-coding RNA (312 nucleotides) under Mustela putorius furo (domestic ferret). Its description in RNAcentral is "lncRNA (ENSMPUG00000030595.1)". The record is from RNAcentral. Lineage: Eukaryota; Metazoa; Chordata; Mammalia; Carnivora; Mustelidae.
UUGCUGGAAGAGCCACCGCUCCCUUAACUAUAGACCAUCAUUGGAAAAUAAACACCGGCAGAAGGAAUGAGUUCCUUUCUGAAUUUCCCACUUUGUUUUUUGGUUCUGUGGAGAAAAUCAUCACUCCAAGGCCUUCAGCAUUGCCUCAUGACCUCAACCCUUGGAACAUGGCAGUGCACAAAGUCAACCUACUGGAGAAAGGAUGUUGAGCCUAACCUGCAGAAGAGGCACAGACGCAGGGCCCUCUGAAGAAUGGGAAUUCAAUAGAAAGCAGAGCACCCAGGAGCCCUACUGAUGUGGACCAGAAGGCCA